RNAcentral lists this ribosomal RNA (758 nucleotides) under uncultured bacterium. RNAcentral describes it as "bacterial SSU rRNA". It matches the Rfam family "Bacterial small subunit ribosomal RNA", at positions 28 to 776 of the family's 1533-position model. The record is from RNAcentral.
GAUGAACGCUAGCUACAGGCUUAACACAUGCAAGUCGAGGGGCAUCAGGAAGAAAGCUUGCUUUCUUUGCUGGCGACCGGCGCACGGGUGAGUAACACGUAUCCAACCUGCCCUUUACUCGGGGAUAGCCUUUCGAAAGAAAGAUUAAUACCCGAUAGCAUAAUGAUUCCGCAUGGUUUCAUUAUUAAAGGAUUCCGGUAAAGGAUGGGGAUGCGUUCCAUUAGGUUGUUGGUGAGGUAACGGCUCACCAAGCCUUCGAUGGAUAGGGGUUCUGAGAGGAAGGUCCCCCACAUUGGAACUGAGACACGGUCCAAACUCCUACGGGAGGCAGCAGUGAGGAAUAUUGGUCAACGGGCGCUAGCCUGAACCAGCCAAGUAGCGUGAAGGAUGAAGGCUCUAUGGGUCGUAAACUUCUUUUAUAUAAGAAUAAAGUGCAGUAUGUAUACUGUUUUGUAUGUAUUAUAUGAAUAAGGAUCGGCUAACUCCGUGCCAGCAGCCGCGGUAAUACGGAGGAUCCGAGCGUUAUCCGGAUUUAUUGGGUUUAAAGGGAGCGUAGGUGGACUGGUAAGUCAGUUGUGAAAGUUUGCGGCUCAACCGUAAAAUUGCAGUUGAUACUGUCAGUCUUGAGUACAGUAGAGGUGGGCGGAAUUCGUGGUGUAGCGGUGAAAUGCUUAGAUAUCACGAAGAACUCCGAUUGCGAAGGCAGCUCACUGGACUGCAACUGACACUGAUGCUCGAAAGUGUGGGUAUCAAACAGG